CUCUCGGCAACGGAUAUCUAGGCUCUCGCAUCGAUGAAGAACGUAGCAAAAUGCGAUACUUGGUGUGAAUUGCAGAAUCCCGCGAAUCAUCGAGUUUUUGAACGCAAGUUGCGCCCGAAGCCUUUCGGCCGAGGGCACGUCUGCCUGGGUGUCACGCAUCGUUGC
Molecule: ribosomal RNA, 165 nt
Filed under: Quercus chrysolepis
Lineage: Eukaryota; Viridiplantae; Streptophyta; Magnoliopsida; Fagales; Fagaceae
Description: 5.8S ribosomal RNA
Rfam family: 5.8S ribosomal RNA
About the family: 5.8S ribosomal RNA (5.8S rRNA) is a component of the large subunit of the eukaryotic ribosome. It is transcribed by RNA polymerase I as part of the 45S precursor that also contains 18S and 28S rRNA.
Source: RNAcentral